This 436-nucleotide ribosomal RNA is filed under the name uncultured bacterium. RNAcentral's name for it is "bacterial SSU rRNA". It matches the Rfam family "Bacterial small subunit ribosomal RNA", at positions 957 to 1393 of the family's 1533-position model. The record is from RNAcentral.
UAACGCGAAGAACCUUACCUGGCCUUGACAUCCUAGGAAUCCCGAAGAGAUUUGGGAGUGCCGCAAGGAACCUGGAGACAGGUGCUGCAUGGCUGUCGUCAGCUCGUGUCGUGAGAUGUUGGGUUAAGUCCCGCAACGAGCGCAACCCUUGUCCUUAGUUGCCAGCAUUAAGUUGGGCACUCUAAGGAGACCGCCGGUGACAAACCGGAGGAAGGUGGGGAUGACGUCAAGUCAUCAUGGCCUUUAUGGCCAGGGCUACACACGUGCUACAAUGGCAGAUACAGAGGGAAGCCAACGCGCGAGCGGGAGCCAAUCCCAGAAAAUCUGUCGUAGUCCGGAUCGGAGUCUGCAACUCGACUCCGUGAAGUCGGAAUCGCUAGUAAUCGCAGAUCAGCAUUGCUGCGGUGAAUACGUUCCCGGGUCUUGUACACACCGA